UUUUUUUUUUUUUUCUUUCCGUCGCUUUAAUAAAGGAUAAUUCAAAGUUUAUUUUUGCCCCAAAAUGGUCCACAGGCUAGAAAUUUAGUAGUUGUAUAUACCCAACAAUUAAUCGUUGUAUUGUAGGUGCACCCUCGUUUUAAUUGAAAAGUAAACAAGAAUAAAUGUUGGUUGAAAAGUUUCUUUCUACUCAAUGCCAAAAUGACAUGAUACGUAUUAUUGAAUUUUCAAUUUCAGCAAAGUUUCAAUAUCUAUAAGCCAAAUUGCAAAAUCAACCCAUCAUCCCUAGAUUUCUAACGAAUAAAAUAAAUGGUUGACCAUAUUGAAAACAACAAACGAGUCUAGAGAAUUUGGACAAGUUCCAUUAAGAGACGGUAAUUUCAAAAUUGACCAUACACGCAAAUUGAAAUAUAUAUAUAUCAAAGAGCAUUCAUUGAUGUCACUUGUUCAAUUCUAAACUGCUAGCCUAGAAUCGAAUUAACAUAUUUAGUAUAAUAAUGCCUGACCAUUUUGAUGCUUCACUAAUUACAAUACACUUUCAUUAAUCACUCAUUCAUUACAUUUUCUUUACGAACCUCGACUUAAGGAGCGAACUUGUUUGAAAGAAGAAAAUCAAACGAGUAACAUAAUUAUGUGGAUAUAUAUUUAUAUUUAUAUAUAUACACGCGUGCGCGCACACACACACACAAACGAAGUUCGAAAAACAAUUUAUGAGAAGCAUGAAAGUUGAUAGACCUUGUUAGAAGAUGACAAUUCAGCGAGCCAUUUCGAAUUGCUCAUUACUUUUGAGCUGUAUAACAUAAUAAUUAUCAAAUAAUGGCUUCCGAUCGAUUUUUAUAAAACUUUUCUCUAACAUGUACUGAUGUACAGAAGUGGGUUUCCAUCUUUGGUAGAACAAAGAAAUAAAUACUUGAAUAAAGUAAAAAUUCAGGUCAAAAAACAAAAAUUCAUUAAGGCUGUUGACGGAAAAGGGCUAAAGUAGAAAGAAAUAGUUGGAAAGUGUAAAGUCAAAAUUAAUGAAACAUGCACGAAUAAUUUAAAACACGAGGAGUAAAAGCAAAGCAAGUAAAAGUUUGCAUGAUUCAAGAUUUUCAACUGUGUGCUGCAGCACGAGCAAUCAAUGAAACGAAAACAAAAAAAAGAACAAAAACAAAAACAAAAGUUUAUUGCAUGCAUGUAAGUAGUAAAUGGCUUAAUUACAAAAAAAAAAUAAUAAUAAUACAUGAAUGAUGAAUGAAUGAAUGAAUAUACCAUGCAUCCAGCUCUGCUGUGGGCCCCAUGCGUUACAACUUUUUCAUGCAAAAGUUCUCGAGCUACUCAAAACACUGGCAAAAUUUAUGAAACUAUUUUUAUUUUUCUUUGUUUUCUGCCUUUUGGGUUUUUGUUUUUAUAGUUAUGGGUGAAAACUAGGGUUUGUCAAAAACAGCGUCACCCCAACAAGUGACUUUAUUAUGAAGCAGAAUUAGCAGAAGGCCAGCAGAGAUCAGAGGGCCGGCAGGGUCUCGAGGUGUCAACAUCAGGGCAACAAGAUAAUGACACGUGUAAAGAACGUGGACCGAGAAUGAAUGACUGAAUGAUAGUGUAAUGAUGAAUAAAUAAUUUUUUGACAUUCUUAAGGACUAUUUGUGUGGUUGCAGAAGCUACAGUCUGAUGAUAUAUACUGAUGAGAGAAGCCAGAAGCAGCAGGAAAGCAGAAGCAGAAAAAGCAGCAAGCAAAAAAAUAUAUUGAAAAAAGAAAAAAAAAAAAAAAGCAGAAGCAGUACGGCUCAUCUUCCCUAUAAUCUAUAUGAAUUUGUGGAGGGUCUUUGAGUAGCUCAAGGCUUUUGGCUUUAUGGUCAGUCAGCGUCUAUAGCGUCUCCCCGUGCUAAUGCUACACUUCACUUCUUGUACCCAUUCUCCUCCAUUUUACAUCAAUUUUAAUUACUCAGCUCCACAUAUGGCAAAAUAACAUAUGCACCCGCUGAAUUUAGAGGAAUCGACAAACAUACUAGUAUUAAAUCGGAAACACCCAACUUGUUAACCCUCAUUCCCUAUGUCUUUUAUUUCAUGUUUGUUCACAUGUUCAUUUUUUUUUUUUUUUAGUGAAAGAAAAUGAUUGAUUAAUAUUUAAAAAUUCUAGUCUUUAAAUUGAUGAAACAAUUUAAUUGGUUUUGCCUGAUUCGUGACGCCGAUGAAGGUGUAGCGAACUUGUGAUGAUGACAAUUCUUCAUCAUUAAGUAUUCAGAUUGAAAAAUUUAGACUCAGCGUAACGCAACAUGAAGCAUAAAUGGACCUACCGUCUAAUAAAUUGUUGCCUUACAAGGUACAGGUUGCACAUUGUAGAAUUUAUAUAUACAUAUACACGAGUUUGACGUUGAACAAUACAGGAAAAGUAAGAGAAGGAAACAAUGUGCUGUUUAAUUUGGAAGAGAAGGGCCUUGAACGUUUAAUUAUGAAUAAAAUAUAUGGGCAAAUUAAAAGCAUUUGAUGAUGGGGUCGUGAAGUUUGAAAAUUUGUGUUCAUGCUACUGUGAUUGUGGGGGAUAAUAAGAACACUUUACAAUUCAAAAGUGAUGUCGCUUUAGUACAAGAAAAGUCAAGGUAGUAAAUAUUGGGUGCUUUUCAUCUAUGGUUUUACCUUUUUUAUAAGUAGAGAUUUAAAUAUUUUUCAAUUAAUUUUUUUUCUGUUAUUUCUUUUUCAUUGAACUAGAGAAAAUUGCAUAACAAUGGAAUUAAUUUAGUUUAUUAAUGAAUUUUCAUUUUUUUCGGUUGAGUUGUAUCCUACAUUAGUUUAGUAAAAGGGAGCUACUUGAGUCUACUUAAAGAUUUUAGGCCUAGCCCCACCCUCACCCCUCUACCCCCGCCGGCCGCCACCACACCUCCUCCCAACCUAAUAGAAGUGGUAUUAGAGAUAGACUUUAGUAGUUGAAAUAUUAUAAUGGAACAACUUAGGUGUGUCGAACAAAAAGAUUUAAGGUCUGGUAUUGGGUUCAUUUGGGGGGAGUGUUUCUAGAAAUCUAACUCAAAAGACUAAUACAUUGAGUAGAGAGACAUAUCCUCUUUAUAACUUUAGGUAAUUUCCUUUUACUAGCCAUGCGGACACAAUCCAGAACUCACCAAACAAUUCCCAACCCCCCCCCNNNNNNNNNNNNNNNNNNNNNNNNNNNNNNNNNNUAAAUAUGAUUUUAAAUGAUCUAUGAUCUGGGUGGGAAUUGAAUCUACUUUUGGUUUAUUUCAAAAGACUCAAGAACAAUAAUUGACAAGACUUCUGCCGUUCUACGGCUCUAAGUAAGGCAAUAAGCUACUAAGGAUGGAAUUAAAAGCGAAUUGAUCUUACCAAUAUCCACUUUACAAGAAAUAAAAUCAGACAAACUUUUAAUUUUUCUGCCUUUUUGAGAUUUCAAUGCAACAAAGCUAGGUUCAAUUCCCUCAUUGAUUGACAACAAUAUCAAGGCACUGAUUGAUUGGGCAUAUCUCAAGAACAAUGGAAAUUAAUGCAAAGUUGUUGAGGUGAUUAAUUAAUAAUUAGGAGCACUAUUGGACAUCUCUCGUUCUCUCUUAUUAUCUUGCUGGUGAAAACUCUUUUUGAAUAUAAAAUUUUGAUCGAUUGAUUAAUUGGGCCAUAUUGGAAAGCACUAAGUACAGAAUUGCUGUUUGAUUUGGCAUAAUCAAGGUGAUUAGUGCAAUAAUAUUGCUUCGAAACAAAGUAUAGAAAAUGCUUUAAUUAGAAAUUAGAUUAUUUGCUUUUGGAUGAAAAGACAUUAGAUUCUCUUUUUGUGUUGAUUUAUUGACUAAAUAACCAGCAUUUCUACACACUGUUGAAUCACAGUCUUUUACAUAUUCCAUAAUUUCAAAAUUUUAUGGGCUUGUGUGAAAUCACUCUGUCUUAAGCUGAGCUUUAUUUAUAUUUAUUGGAUUAUUAUUGUUUGAUUAUUUUGAGAAUUAUGAAAUAACAAAUGAGUGUCAGAAGUAUUAGGUUAAGUAAUACUAUGCUACUAAUGUUUUACAAAAUAAUUUAUUUUAUUACAAGAAUUUUACAAAUUAUUAUAUUUUACUAUGUUUCUAUUAAAACAUUAAUUCACUUGUUAGCUGACUGGUAAAAAUUGUUUUUGUGGUGAUUCUUAGUACAAAGUUAUUUUUGCCUCUUUGACAUCAGCGUGAUAUAUGUCAGUAGUAAUUGGAUUAACAGCAGUAAAAAGGAAAAUUGUAAAAUGUUAAUUUUAUAAAAUUAUAAUAAUAAAAUGUCAGUAGUAGUUCUUAAAGUGGUCAUGUGAUGAUAACCCUUAUUUAUUUUAUUUACUAAUGUAUUAGGUACAAGGGUCAGCUGAAUCAAAGUCGUGAUCAUUAAAUCUCUAUCAUGAAAUCUUUACUAAUAAUAAUAAGAGAAAAAGUGAAAGUAGGAAGAUGUUAAUGAUAAUGGCAAUAAUUGCUUCUAUAAAGCAGCCAUGCAAGGAGUGUAGACGAGGAGCUGUAUUUAUUGAAAGUUGAAAGUAUAAACGUGGCAAAAGCACAAUCAUCAUAAUGUUAGAACCAGAGACCCUCCUACAGUUUGUUUCAUUCUGUCUAUUUCUUCCACUACAUUCCCCCAUAAAACUCUGAAACCCUAAUUGUUCUUUACUUUCUUGUUCAAUUUUAGAUCGCUCUUAAUCUGUCUUUUUGAUUUAUGCAUAAAAUAAUAAUUGGCUAAAGCUUUUUCUUUUUCUUUUUCUUUAUUUUUAGGUAAACACUUACCACACUACUUUUAUAAUAUAGUUAAAAAAAAAUAAUAGUUGAAACAAAACAUUAAUGUUCAAGAUACGAUUAUACAAUCAUCAAGAUUUCUAUGUAGUUAUAAAUUUAAUUAUAUUUUCACAAAAUUUCAAGAUUUACAUCUAUGCCGAUAAUUGUCAUGCCACAACAUUAAUCUUAGAGAUGGCAUAAUCGUAACUUGUGAUGGAAAAUUCAGUUUUCGGUUCGUUUUUACUUAAAAACUGAAUUUGUUUGGAUUGGAAAGUUCAAACCAAACUUAAUUUGUAAACCAAACCAAUAAAAUCAUUGAAAUACCAAACCAAAAUAAUAAGUGGCUUAUCCAUAAAUUACAUGUAGAUGGGAUUGAGCUAAAGCAUAUUUUUUAGUUAAAACACUUACCAUACCUACUGUUAUUAAUUUUGUUAAAAGAAAUAAUCGUUCAAAUUAAAUCUCUAUUUGUAAUCCUUAAAAUAUAAUUAUGCAGUCAUCAAGAUUUUUACCAAGUUAUGAGUUUAAUUCAAUUUUCUUUCCCAAAUCAAAGUUUAUAAAAUGGUUAUGAAAUUAAUUUACCAAUGACAAUUGAAUGGACUACGGAGAAGCCAUUUUUUACACGCGCUAAAAAGAGAAUGGUUGCGUAUUAAAUGAAUCAUUUAUUCCCCCAUAAGACUUUGACAAACUGACUGACAAAUAAAACUUUUCAAAAAAUGUUUUCAAAGAAAUUAUUUAUGUCAAGUUGUAACCGGCAGUGGCCUUACUUCAUUUGAUUUGAUUUGAUUUGAUUUGAUUUGCCAUCUCUUUUCAAAUUUUGUUUUGUCAAGAGUAACUCCAUAUAUUUCUUCUUUCCGCUUGGCCCGUUUUUCUUUCACUUCUUGCGUAAACUUUGUUUGGCUUCCCGGAAAAACUUUCCUUUCCCUUUCUCUCUUUUUUCUCUGACUGCUAGGGUUCUAGGGCUAUGUUGCAAAGCCAGCUAAUAAUAAUAUAAGAUAUGGAUCUGACAGAUUGACAUCUUAAUAAUUUUCAUUGGUAACAGUUACUGCAAUUAAUUUUUGUUGGUUGCCCGUUGAAAUUCAAUCCUGCUAAUUAAACUUCUCCAAUUUGAUUUGAUUGAUGACAUUAUUUGAUGCUUAUGGGCUCUUUUUGUAAAGGGAAAAAAGGACCUCAAUUUUCAACGAUGAACAAUUAGACACUCAUUAAUUUAGAAAUAGAUACAUAGUUAAAGUUUUAUUAAAUUCUGAUGGGGAUAAACGUACUAUAUAAUAAAUUAUUUUAUUUAGACAUUAUAGUAUAGUAAUUUUAAUAAGAUUGGUGUUCUUUAUCUCUAUUUUUUAUAAAAAAAAAUCUGGCUAUUCAUUUCUCAAUAUAAUUUGGCAGUUUGCAUUGUAUAGGAGAUUAUGCAAAACGUUAAACCCACGGACAAACACACAGAAAAUGCAUUAAAAAGCUCACAUCAAGCCAGUUCACUUGAAGUUGUAACUAGUUACGGACAUUUAGCUACAAAUUGAUCAAUGUUAAAUUGGAGCUAAACAACGGUAACUAAUUCUAAAUGCACAUUUCAAGAAGUGUGGACAUCCAUAACUUAAAUUUUCAUUCACUUGAAUAAUAAUAAUAAUAAUAGACCGCUAGACUGAAAAUUUUAGAUUGAUAGGUAAAUGCAUAAAAAUAAUAUUAAGGAUAAGUUUUAAUAACCACCUCACGUGAAAUGCAGAAGAUUCAAUUCUAAAUUUAAUCGAUAAAGAGAGACAAAGUUUUUACAUGAAAGGAAUCAAACACAAGACUUUAGCUCUAACAAGCUGACCCAAUGUUACAAAGAGAAAAGAAAACUUGUAUUUCAAUGUGAAUAAUGCUUGAAAUCUCAACAUUCAAGUUUUAACUUGAGUCUCAAUGUUAUAUGUCACUUUUUUUAUUAGAUGAUGAAUGUAAAAUUACUGAUUACUUUAUUUAUAUUAACCAAGAGAUGAAUGCCACAUAAGGUAAGACUGAAAUUAUGACUCAAAUAUUGAGAUAUCUAGUAUUGCUUUUUUACUCUAUUUAAAAAAUACUCGGAGUGGUUAUAUCAAAGAUAAUUAAAUAAGAAAGCUAAAUAUACUAAUAUUAAAUAAAAAUAUUAGUGAUCAUAAUCAAUAGGUAUUGAAGAAUCAUGGAGAUUUGAUUUGAAAGAUUAUUACCUUUAACAAUUAAUUUAUAAUUAUUUUGGCAAUAAUUUCAUUUCAUUUCAUUUGUUACUCUUUAAUAUGAACACGCUAACCCAAUUAUGAAAAACCUUAUCUAAGUGAUAAAGGCAAAAAAUUAAAGAAAAAAGUUAUUCCAUCUCCUUUAUCGUUGGUUUUAACACCACCCUCACUUUUUUUUUUUCCCUUUCCUCUCUCUCUCUCUCUCUCUCUCUCUCUCUCUCUCUCUUUUUUUUUAUGAAAUCACUUUCUUCUCUCAUACGAGAAAUUAAUUGCUUUUCUCUUCAUGGAUUUUAACAACACGUCCUUUUUUUAUCUUUCUCUUUUGCCUCCUAAAGAGAAGUUAUAAGGCAACCCAUCACAAAAGGCUCUGGCUUUUGCCCUAUAUACAAACUCAACCAAAGUUAGAAGAACUAGCUAACUUCCCUUUUUUGGUUUUGAUUAAUCAUCUAAAUUACCAUAAGCUAUUCCACUACCACUGUUAUUGUUUAAUUUAGCAAAACUUUCUUCGCGUGAGAUUAAAUUUUAAUUGAACACAAAUUAAUUUCCCAUUCAUGAGUGUCGUUUUAGCAAGGAAUAAUUAUUCAAAGCAAAAGGCAAAAGUAUGUCAUUAUAGUACAAGUCAAAGCUUUUGGGUCAUAUUAGAUUUGUGGACAUAAAUAAAUAAAUAGCUUUACUAUAAUUUUGCAUUUACUAUGCAUGCAUAUUUAUAUAUUUAGAGAAGUUGCUAGCCUGUCUUGUAAGUUUGUUAGUAUUAGGAUUCUGAAAAGUUGGAGGCCAUAUAUAGAAGGUUAAUUUCAUUUUACUUGAUUGAGUAGUCAAUAUUGUUGGUAAUAUUUACUAUUUUUACUUUGUUCUUUUUGUGAGCUUCUUUCAUUAUCAAUCUGCAGGAGACAAGCUGUGAUUGAUGAAUGAUGACAACAACUUAUUGUUAGACCUAUUAGUUCUAAAUAUUGGCAAUUAAUUGAUAUUAAGGCUGCAUAAUUAGUGCAGAAAACGGUUUAAUAUGGAUUUGAUUCUAUUUAGAUUAUAAGUUAGUGUGAAUCAAAAUAUAAACGGUUGGACAAUAGUUUACAACUAAAUAUUAAUCAUACACUAUGUACAUGUAGAAUAAGAUUUCUAAAUAGUUUUGUGUAUUGAUUCAAAAAAAUUUUAAUCUUGAGUGAUAAUAUGUGACAUAUAAAGUUGACACGUGACAUAUAAUGUAUUAUUCAAUGAUAUAAUAAUUAUUUUAUUUAUAAUUCAACAAAAAAGUAACAGCUAGCUACUAAUUGAUAAGUGACAACGUAUAAAUUGUGAUACAAAAUUUAUAUCUCAACUUUAUAUCUAUGGUAUUGUUUAGAUAAAUGUUUUCUAUCGGGAAAAAUUUAUCCUAUUAGAUGAAAAAAUCUUACUAGAAUUCAAAAUUUUAGUAAAAACUAAUCCCACCACACAAAAAGAACACUUCAUUUUUCUUGUUUUCCUUUAUUAUUCUCUAGACUUCUCCUUAACUUUUUUCUGAACCAUUCGUUUAGAAUAAAUUUUCUGCGCAUCGAUGAAAUGCUGUGGGGUUCUUGAAAUUUCCCAACUAGUUCACAUUAAUUUCCACUGAAUUAUGCCAAUAAUUGAGUAACAUUCUUAUGCAAUUCAAAUUUGGACGCAACACAAAGUCGUUUUCUAAGUUGAAAAAUUAAAAAAAAAAUGAAAUCAGAUGAGAAUUAGGACGCUAGCUGCUAUGUUUGAGUCCCCGCAUUAAUAUUCAUGAAUAAGAUGUGUCAGGCUCUUAUUAUUAAUAUUAAUUUUAUACUGAAUUUUAUUGUUAUAAUUUGUAUGUACCAUUGGGACCAUUUACAGCUAGUUGAUCAUUUACAGUGAAUUAAAAGCGGGUAGUAGCUAGAAUGGAAUUUGACAUCAAGCAUGUAAUAAUAUUUAUGAUACAAGUGCUUUUGUCUUCAUGUGGCAGAAGCAAAACAGCAUAAGCUAAUCUUCUAGAAAAUCUACUUUAAAAAUUUUUUAAAAUUCCUCAGCAUUAAUUGGCAACUGUUACAUGAAAUUUAAUUUCUUUUCAUUAAAUCCAUUCCACAAUACCUUGUUUCCUAUAAACCAAAUCUCCAACACAUAUUUAAAGGAAAAACAGAAGGAAAGCUCUACCAAACGCCUUCGAGAAUAAAUCAAUUCAUUGUACAUAUGAUAAAUUGUUGGAAAAAGUUUGGUGGCUUAGUACAAGAUUAUAAUUCAAACUUGCUCUAAUAUCAUAUUAUAAUCAUCUUUUAAUCUAAGAAAAAAAAAGCAAUGAAUAUUGAAAAUACAGUUUUGAAAUCAUGGCAUGGGUUAUUUCCAAGAACAUUCAUGAAAACUCAAGAGGAAUAAUUUCAAACUUGCUCUAUUAUCAUAACAUAUCUAAUGAACUUCUGGGAUAUAAAUGACUAUUUCUAAUUUGAAAGUACGUUUCCACUAAAUUUAAACUAAAGAAUCUACUUGCAUUUUGUUGAACUCUCAAUAUAAUGCUAGGAUUUCAAAAUUAAAACAGAAAGUUUUAAGGUAUAAAAUUAUCGCAUUAAUGAUAGUAUAAAAAUAUCCAUAGUUACUUAACACGUGGCAUUUUUUAAUUGAUGCUACAGCAUUUAAGGUAUAAAAUUUGUAGUCCAAUUAUGUGCAUCUGGUUUACUCAGAUCUCAAAUACUAAAUUUAAUGUUAUGGAUUAAGGCUAGUAUAUGUAUACUUUUUUUUCUCCAUUUUCUCAAUAUAACAUAAUUUUAAAAUAAAUUCUUCUCUCAGUUUUAGUGUGAAUAGAUACGGAUCUCAUAUCUCUUAUAUCACCACCAAAAAAUUUUAUCAACGAAACCCUUUGUGCUGAAAUGAGUAUAUAUGUUUACUUUAGCUAGUGACUGUAUGUAUAAAGAGUUGCGUAAUAUCAAAUAUUUCAAAUUAUAGUGCUUGAUAGUUAUUAGUUUUUCUGGCUGUAUUAAUUUAUGAAUUUAAAUUGACAAAUGUCUCCACAUUAUAGUAAUCAAAUUACUGUGCAGUUAUUUUUAGGAAUUGUCUAGUUGGUUUGGUCCUUUCAGUGAAAAAGAGAGAUUAAGAGAUUAGUUUCUCGUGACACGAAUAUUGAAGUGUAAAAUUCUUUGAUUCGUAUUUGUGAAGUAAAGGGAUCAAUUCUCCAUAGCAACAAUGUUGAAAGGGAAAAUAUUGUAAUUUGUAUUUGUGCAUAGAGUGGAACAUAAAUGGGGUGUCUGAAUAUAUUGAUUUACAGACAGAAUAAUAUUUCAGCACUUUUCCACUAGUAUAAAAACUUUCUUCAUCUCAAGUAGGUAGCUUUCAGGUAAUAAAAUGAAAAAAAAAUUGAGAUAUUUGGAAAGUGUAGUAAGUAUUGCUAUGAGAGAAAAAGGUAUAAAAGAAUUUCACUUUUCAAUAUCUCAUCUUUCUUUUUGUAUUUUUUUCAAAUUUCCCAUGCAUUCAUGCAAGCCUUUAUUUUCAAGUUCUUUCUUUUGGUUCAAUAUUCUCUUUUUCUUUGUAUAUAAAGCAUAAAGCCACAACAAAAUAAACCUUGAGAAAAUAAAAAAUGAUAAAAGAUAUUCUAUAAAUAUUGCAAAGUGCUCCAUUACAAUUACCAAGGAUCACUUGAUGAUACUUUCAAAGAUAGUUAAAGGUCACUCUCUACCUAAAGUUCUCUCCUCCUUCAUACCCCUCAUGAGUAGUGGUGCAAAACAUACAAAAUCAAUUAAAUUUCGUAUUUACGUAGGAAUAUAACAUAUAUAUAUUUAAUAUAUAAAAAUUUUUGUUUGGAUUUGAAUCUCAAAGCUUCAAAUUAAGAACCAGGGACAUCAUGCGCUUUCUUUCUUCCUUUCCCCCNNNNN
RNAcentral lists this long non-coding RNA (10710 nucleotides) under Citrus sinensis (sweet orange). Its description in RNAcentral is "long non-coding RNA (CSIN_LNC001257)". Lineage: Eukaryota; Viridiplantae; Streptophyta; Magnoliopsida; Sapindales; Rutaceae. The record is from RNAcentral.